CCUGUCUCGUUCCUAAAGGCAGAGAUGAUCUCCGUCACUGCCAAACUGCCCACGUCCUCCUCGUCUCUCAUUCCUCUUGACCUCGUCAUGCUCAAAGGAUGACAACCCUGUCCAAGAGCAGAGAUGAGGCAGCCAAUGGAAACCUUCUGUCAACCCGCUGUGCUCUUCCCACCACAGCGAGCCAAGGAAGAUGUCCUCUGGGGUACCAUCGGGGUCAGGGCCCCUCUGACUCAACCCCCAGAUGACCUAACAAUAGCAAGAAGAGCACAGAACACUCCAGGAGUCAGAAAGCCUGCCCAUAAAUGCAGGGAGGAACAGCAGGGCAGGAUCAGGAGACUACAGCAGAUGACAGGCCACUAUGUCCCCAAUAAACGGGCAGAAUACUACAAUGGCGGAUCCCAGAGCAGGUUCUGAAGGGCACCAAGUCUACACGAGGAAAGUCUGCACAGGAACAAAAUGAAGGCAUUUGGGUCCUAUAAAACUGAAGGCCCACUACUACAGCAUGAGAGCCGGAUCCCAGAGGAUGGUCUGAGCAGAGUAUCAGACACAGUGUACGCAUCUCCCCAGAGCUGUCCAGCCUCCUCUGCCCCCCGGGCCACGACCACUUCACCUUCUCGCACUGUUAGCUGUCUUGACCUCCCUCUUGGUGAAGCCCAGACUCUGCUAGAAGCAACAGCAGCUCAAGUGCCCAGAUAUAACCCAACCAGAUCCACAGAGCUCUAGCUUCUCCAGAGCUGCCCUCAGAAACCAGGUGACAAACCUAGAACUGCAAGGGAAUUAAUGCCCCUUGGGGCCAACAUUGAGAGGGCUCUCUCCACAGCUUUAUGUCAGCCAUGGAAGGAUAAAGAACUCAUCAAGAGAAGGUGGAGUUCAUCGCAGUGGCCUGAGCUUGUAUUCCAGAGACUAAUGCUUUCACCCGCCCCAGAGCCUUUCAUGUGGGUCUCAGUGGAAGAUCCUGCUUUUUAAAGACAUUUUCAAAAGGAAACAAUUCAUAAAGCCUAAGUAAAAAGGAAACAAGUGUUCUUAAGCUUUUGUCCCUCCCUGUUCAACCAUUUUCUGGCUGUCCUAGGUGAGGACCCUCCUGGGCACACCAUGGGGUGGGCAGUGCCAGCCUGCACGCUUCACAGCAGGAGCGCCCCCUCCCCUAGGCCUUGGGAGAAGCCCUUGGAUGCGCGUGACUUU
This 1182-nucleotide long non-coding RNA is filed under the name Equus caballus (horse). RNAcentral's name for it is "lncRNA (ENSECAG00000056136.1)". Lineage: Eukaryota; Metazoa; Chordata; Mammalia; Perissodactyla; Equidae. The record is from RNAcentral.